Phalacrocorax carbo (great cormorant) is the source of this 1773-nucleotide non-coding RNA. The record is from RefSeq and is a predicted model, not a curated record. Lineage: Eukaryota; Metazoa; Chordata; Aves; Suliformes; Phalacrocoracidae.
UGGUUUGAGGAGGUUAUGUACAUACUUGGCAUGUUGCCAGCUUAGAUUCCAAAUGAAAAUUAUCUGUGGGUUGAAGGUUGAUAAAAAUCGCAGCUAUACUGUUUUUAAUAAAACAUAUUAAAUAGAACAUACUAAGUAGAACAUAUUAAAUAUUAUAAACAAAUCUGAUAAAUAAAUAACUAAAAUAGAAUAAAAUAAAAUAAAUAACUAAAUAGAACGUACACCAACAGAAGGGGCUAAGGAUUAAGAACUGUUUAUCGAAAGCUACAAGGUAGGAAUUUACAUUUGAAAAAAAGAAAUAAGUAUCAAGUUUCCUUCCGUUUUUCAAACAUCUAAUCAUUUCUUUUGACCUAAUGUGGUGUGAUGGGGGGGGAGGCCAGAAAGGAUGUCAUACAGGGUACUACUUCUUCAAUGAGUCCAUUUUGAUUGCAGAUCUGAAAGCACCUUUUCAAAAUGGCAAGUGAGGUGGUUUAUGCAGAGGUAUCGCCCAAGGAAAGAGUGCAUUUUACUUCACACACUUCAGAUACAGGUGAUUCAACCACGUAUGCCGAGGUGAAUGUGAAAUGGAGAUCUGACAGACCUGACAGCACACGCAAGACCACACAUACAGUGACCUGCUUGGAGAGCUCACACUGGUGUUAUGUUGCUGCCGCCCUGUACUUCACUGCAGUGAUUCUGCUCAUCACUGUCAUCCUCUUAGCCGUGAAAUGUCACCACCUCUGAUGCAGACCCUGCCGUCCUGCUGAGGUACAGGAUAACUCGGUGCAGGAAGGCUGAGCUUCUUCAACAAAACAAGGCAUAAUGCUGUUUACUUUUACAUUAUUUUCUCUGAAGAGACCUUCAUGAAAGAAGAUGUGCCAUCAGUCUGAUCACUCUUCAGCUAAAUUUUCCAGGAUCUCCAUUAAACAUCUAACCUCUCCAUAUAUGGACAAACAUAUAGUAUUACUUUUAUAUGGAAUUUUAUUAGUCCUGUAAUACCAGCAACCAUCCAAUUACAUCAGUGUGUGUACCAAGCUCAAGCUGCUGCAUCAAAAGUUGGCCCUGGGUCUUGUCUAGACAGCACUCAUGAUCAGGUGUACUGGUUUGAGACAUCACUUUUAAUUCACACCUGACUUGAUUUUGCAAUAUAGACAAGCUUUUUUAUUCCAUAUAUGCAAGUGCAGAAAUUCAUGUAUAAAACAGAGAAUGUGAAAAGUUGCACUGACUUUUUUAUGAAGCCCAGGUUUGGAUGUGAUUUUUCUUCUCCUGAGCACCUUUAGUGGAAUUUGUAUGAAAGGGAUAUUGAAGGUGCAAGAAACUAUAUUAAUUUAGCAGAGAAGUCUCAGUCUCAUCCCCCCAUUGCCUUGAAUAUAAUUAUUCUGAUCUACUUAUACAGAAAAGUAUCUCACAGAGAUACAAUACCUUGUUUCUGUCUUGGCGUAGUAAUUAAUUUUGUAUUUGUUUGGGGAUUUUUUUUAAUCCAAAUGCUUCAGUUAAAUCACAGUCCUCCACUGGAACUAAGCCACCUCAGGUUCAAAGGCAUUUGUUUGUAAUUAUUAUUUUGCUGUCUGUUUUUAUAUUAUUUCCAGUUCUCAUCAGUUAUGUUAUAACUCCUUUGGGGCAGGCUGAUACCAAUGAUUUGCAGACCUGGACUAGGACGUGUCUGUAUAGCAAUUAUUUCUAGAAUUGUUCCCUGUAUCUAAGCUUAUCAUAAGCUACUUAAGCCAUGUUGUUUCUGUUGAUCAUGCACCACAUUUUUAUAGUAUAUGCAUCAGAAAUCAAUAAAGAUAUUCA